GGCCAGUUUCAAUUAACGCGUCGCGCGCCGUUUUUAUUCUGCUAAUUAGCACAGUGACACAGGCAUGCAAACUUCCAGGUUAAUAUUUCGCCAUAAACUGACAUUUGGAGAAGAAUUAUGAGGACAUGUUCAACAACAUCCAGGCUGAAGAAGUAGAGGACCUUUUAUUGAUUUGGAGACCAAGGCAGAGCAGGAGCGCAGCACUAAAAGAGCCUGGGGAAAGGCCUGCCUUAUUUCAUGGUGGAAGCUUACAUGAAACAGGAAGACAUGACAGUGUUACAUGAAUGAUUAUAUAAUGACAACACCAAUUAAAAGAUACAGAAAGUUAAUGUGUUUCAUGUGCUCAACUAACUACUCAAGUCAUCAUCUAUACUGUAAUGAAGUUUCAGAAUUUAGCCUUUCUAAAGAACAUUUAGGAUCUUAAGUGGAUGGACUUGUAAACCCAUUUCCAGUAAUAUUUUGAUAUUGAUAGUAUUCAUUAUAUAUAGCUGUGUAUGUGUUCUAGAAACAUAUUAUUUCUACCAGACAAUGAAAGUGAGCCAUGUCUGUGUGAAAAUCUAAGCUAACUGAAAUGUGAGAGCAACUCAAUAAUUUACUAGUUCAUGAAACAUGCCAUGAAAAGAAAACAAAUCUAGAAAGAGAGUCAGAUAUCAAAAAUAGCAAUGAAAGAAUAGAAAUAUCUAAAACUUGCAGAAUCCACUUGAUUUAGUCUGUUUGUGAGAGAAAAUGUUAAAGUGCAAUAUCAACUAAAUAUGCUGGAAUUAUCCCAAACGGCAGUUAUGAAGCCUUGCUGGGAUUCAUAUUACAGAUAAAGUUUGCUGGACAGAAAUCAUGUCUAAAUAAUGAAGAUACAGAAGUGGCUUUGAUAUAUGAGAAAAAUAUACUUGAAAAAUGGAAAAGCUUUAUUUAAGAAAUAAUAUUAUAUAUGCAAAUACCAACUUGUGAAUUUGGUUUUCAUAAAAUAAUGAGGUUUUAUUUAUAUUUAUGCAUACAAGGAAUGUAUACCACAUUAUCAGUAUUAUCACACGCUCAAUAAUUUUUAUGCCCCCGGGCAUAUAGUAAUUGAACUGUCCGUCUCUGUCUGUAUGUAUAAGGAUAACCUAAAACAGCAAGUUUUUUUUCUUGAGUUCUACCCGCACCAAUGGCUUCAUAAUUCACACAUUCACUAAUCAGUUCAAAGAAUACAAUCUCCAGGGGCAAGUUACAUAACUAUGGCUUCCAUUUUUACCAAGUUAUUGCCCUUUUGAGCACUUUGAAAAUGAAAAGAUUAACCAAAACCGUCAAAUUGGAUAUAUCUUAAGUUCUGUCUAUACUAAUUGCUUCAUAAUUUUCACAUGUACUUCUCGGUACAAAGUGCAUUGAUAUUGCUAAGUAAUAUUACUGUGCCAUCCAUUUUUCACAGUUAUUUCCCUUUUUAUCACUUUGAAAAUAGGGCAUUGUAUGGUUAACCUUUUCAGGCAAGUUGGAUAUAUCUUAAAUUUCUCCUUAAUACUUCUUUUAUUUACAUUGUGAUACAUUGAGGGACUUUGAAAUAACCUGGCACAAAUGUGUACUACAUCAAGAGGAUGUGUCGCAUUUAUGAACCACGCCCCUUUUCAAAGGUCAAGUUCACACUUUUAUUUUGAAGGUUCACACUAUUACAACUAGAGAUAGGUACACACAUUCGUGUCCGGAAUAUACUUUGUAACUUUGUCAUGCAUCGAAGGAUUUUAAAGUAACUUAGCACAAAUGUCAACCACAUCUAGAUGAUAUGUGUUGUGUGUAAGACCCAUGUUCCUACCUCCAAGGUGAAGGUCACUCUAAUAGUUUGAAGGUACUUAAGGUCAUAAGAAGAGUUUGAAGGUACGCAUUAGUUUUCAAACUGUAAAGUUGUCAUGCAUUAGAGGAUUUGCAUAAAUGUCUAUCACAUCAAGGUGAUGUGUGCAUCCAAGACCCUUGUCCCAAGGUGUUAAGUUUGCUAUAAAAAGUACUUCAUUUCACAAGAACAAUGUUAAGCAAUUAGUUAUUUUCAUGGGGGCGUCCGUGGCCGAGUGGUUAAGGUCGUUGACUUCAAACCACUUGCCCCUCACCGCUGUGGGUUCGAAUCCCGACAGGGACAUUGGAUUCUUUCAUGUGAGGAAGCUAAUCCAGCUAGCUUACGGAAGGUCGGUGGUUCAGUGCAUUAUUUCAGGCACAAACGGGCUCCUCCACCAGUAAAGCUGAAACGUAAUCAUAUUACCUAUACUGUGUCAGUGUGACGUAAAACCCAAUCAAACAAACACAGUUAUUUUCAUUCUGUUUUCUUUUCAUAAUACCUGCAUGCUUAAGAACCCUUUUUUGGGGGAUAUGUCACUUGCGUGACAGCUCUUGUUUAUACAGCAUUACAGUAUAUUUUUUCCAAUGUCUCAUAUUUAUGAGGAACAUAGUUUCAUUAUGUGGUUCUUUGAAUGGAGUUUGGGGUCACUGGGUUUAAGGUAAAGUCCUGCAUUUAUAUAUAUUUGAUAAAGUUGAUAUUUCUGAACUUCAUCACAAUUUAUAUUAAUGACUUACCAACUUAUAUUCUUCACAAGUACAAUACGCCAUGACUCCAUGUCAAGUUAUGUUACUUUACAAUUUUUUUGGCAAAUUUUCUGUGAAUAACUGAGUGAAUGGGUAAACAUUUUUUGAAAUGCUGUUAUACUGAUAAAUAACCUAGCUGGGUGAGGGCAUAAAAUUUGUGUUUUCAAACAUGUUCUUAUUUGUCAUUGUUUUUAAUCAAAUCUGAACUGUUAUUGUCAAAGGGUUGUUUGUUAAUAUAAAUGUAUGAAUGAAAUCAAAGCGGCUUAAUUAUUUACUCUUUGAGUUUCUUUUUGUUCAGACGUAUGAACAAAUUUGCUUCAAAUAACAAACAUAAUAGCUUAAGUGAUACAGUGUUCAUACAUGUGAACAAAAACCUGCCAAUUUAAAGAAAGAUAUUUUUGUUCAUACAUAUGAACAAAAUCGGCUGAUUUUUGUGCUAUUUUUUGCUCUGUGAGUUUGUUUUGUUCAGACGUAUGAACAAAUUUGUUUCUAAAUAACCACAAAAUUACUGAAAUAAUGCAGCACUUGGUCAUACGUAUGAACCAAAACCUGCCAUUUAGUGUAAAAAGUUUGGUUUUUGUGUUCAUACAUAUGAACAAAAUUGAAGUGCUAGUUUAUGUGCUAUUUUCGCUCUGUUAGUUAAAUUUGUUCAUACAUAUGAACAAAAUCGAAGCUGUUCAUUCAUAUGCUAUUUUUCACUCUGUGAGUUUAUUUUGUUCAUACGUAUGAACAAAAUCGAAGAGGCUUAUUUAUGUGCUAUUUUGACUCUGUGAAUUUGUUUUGUUCAUACGUAUGAACAAAAUUGAAGCUGUUGCUAAUUUAUGUGUUAUUUUUUACUAUGAUAAUAAACACUGCAUAAUUUUGUGGUUACUUUGAAAACAUAUUUUUGUUCAUACGUCUGAACGAAACAAUUGUUAAGACGUAUGAACAAAAACAUGUUUUCAAAUAACCACAAAAUUAUUAAAUUAUGCAGUGUUUAUUAUUAUAUAUGACUGUAUGAAAAAACCCUCACAAGUUUAAAAAGAAAUUUUGUUCAUACGUAUGAACAAAAUCGAAACUGCUAAUUUUUUGUCAUUUAUUUUUGCUCUGUGAGUUUGUUUUGUUCAGACGUAUGAACAAAAUUUGUUUCAAAAUAACCAUAAAAUUAUGAAGUUAUGCAGUGUUCAUUAUCAUAUAUAUGUAAGAAAAAACACUCGCAAGUUGAAAAAGAAAUUUUGUUCAUACGUAUGAACAAAAUCGAAGCAGCUUAUUUUUUGUUCUUUAUUUUCACUGUGCGAGUUGGUUUUGUUCAGACGUAUGAACAAAAUUUGUUUCAAAAUAACCACAAAAUUACUGAAAUAAUGCAGUGUUCAUACGUAUGAACAAAAUUGAAAUGCUAAUUACUUUAAUGUGCUAUUUUCGCUGUGUGAGUUAAUUUUGUUCAGACGUAUGAACAAAAUUUGUUUCAAAAUAAUCACAAAAUUAUGCCAGUGUUCAUACGUAUGAACAAAAACCUGCCAAUUUAAAAAGAAAAAUAGUUUUGUUCAUACGUAUGAACAAAAUCGAAGUGGCUAUUUUUUGCUCUGUGUCAGUUUUUGUUCAGACGUAUGAACAAAUUUGUUUCAAAAUAACCACAAAAUUAUGCCAGUGUUCAUACGUAUGAACAAAAACCUGCCAAUUUAAAAAGAAAAAUAGUUUUGUUCAUACGUAUGAACAAAAUCGAAGUGGGUAUUUUUGCUCUGUGUCAGUUUUUGUUCAGACGUAUGAACAAAUUUGUUUCAAAAUAACCACAAAAUUAUGCCAGUGUUCAUACGUAUGAACAAAAACCUGCCAAUUUAAAAAGAAAAAUAGUUUUGUUCAUACGUAUGAACAAAAUUGAAGUGGGUAUUUUUGCUCUGUGUCAGUUUUUGUUCAGACGUAUGAACAAAUUUGUUUCAAAAUAACCACAAAAUUAUGCCAGUGUUCAUACGUAUGAACAAAAACCUGCCAAUUUAAAAAGAAAAAUAGUUUUGUUCAUACGUAUGAACAAAAUCGAAGUGGGUAUUUUUGCUCUGUGUCAGUUUUUGUUCAGACGUAUGAACAAAUUUGUUUCAAAAUAACCACAAAAUUAUGCCAGUGUUCAUACGUAUGAACAAAAACCUGCCAAUUUAAAAAGAAAAAUAGUUUUGUUCAUACAUAUGAACAAAAUCGAAGUGGGUAUUUUUGCUCUGUGUCCGUUUUUGUUCAGACGUAUGAACAAAUUUGUUUCAAAAUAACUACAAAAUUAUGCCAGUGUUCAUACGUAUGAACAAAAACCUGCCAAUUUAAAAAGAAAAAUAGUUUUGUUCAUACGUAUGAACAAAAUCGAAGUGGGUAUUUUUGCUGUGUCAGUUUUUGUUCAGACGUAUGAACAAAUUUGUUUCAAAAUAACCACAAAAGAUUUGAUGCAGUGUUCAUACGUAUGAACAAAAACCUUACAAGUUGAAAACAAAAUUGUUCAUACGUAUGAACAACAUUGAAGUGUCUGUCUAAUUUAUGUGCUAUUUUUCAGUAUGUGAGGUAAUUUUGUUCAGACGUAUGAACAAAAUUUUGUUAAAAAAUACUCAAUAUUGCUGAACUUAUUCAGUGUUCAUACGUAUGAACAAAAUCUUGACAAGUUGAGAAAAAAAUUUGUUCAUACGUAUGAACAAGUUUGAAACUGCUAAUAUAUUUGUUAUUUUUUACACUAUUCUUAUUUUUUGUUCAGACGUAUGAACAAAAAUUGUUGAAAAAUAAAAAUAUAU
Molecule: long non-coding RNA, 5279 nt
Organism: Ruditapes philippinarum (Manila clam)
Lineage: Eukaryota; Metazoa; Mollusca; Bivalvia; Venerida; Veneridae
Exons: 2
Source: RefSeq, a predicted model, not a curated record